Molecule: small nuclear RNA, 108 nt
Organism: Sorex araneus (European shrew)
Lineage: Eukaryota; Metazoa; Chordata; Mammalia; Eulipotyphla; Soricidae
Source: RefSeq, a predicted model, not a curated record
GUACAUUAAUUUCGUACUUAUAUUAAAACUGAAAUGAUAGAGAAGAUUAGCAUGGCCCAUAUGCAAGGAUGACAUGCAAAUCUAAAAUAUUCCACAUAAAAACUUUAU